AGUUCCAGGGAUCUCCCAGAGCGUUCCCUCUGCCCACAACCCUCUCGCAGGCCCCCGGCCGAGCCUUACCUUGGUCCGCAUCUGUCCAGAGGUGGACACUUUACGGAUCAGCUUCUGGGGCCCCUCCUGCUCCGCUUCACUGUCGGACGAAUCCUCUCCCGGUCCUGCAGCAGUGGGGGAAACCGCGCUGGCCCCAGCGACCGCUCCUCCCGCGACGCCCUGAGGGUGGUGCUGGCUGCCGGCCCCGGCCAUCCUCUCUGAUUCCUGCAGGGACACAGCAGCGCCCCGAGGGGCUGUGGUCAGCUGCUGGGCUCUGCCCGAACGUCUGAGCCCUGCGCCUAGCUGGCGCCAUCUUCCGUGGUCCCCGCCACGCAGCACCCUGGACCCGGGACCCGGGAUCACGCGCCGCCCCUGCCGAGACCUCUGCGUGCUUCACAUCUGGGCACCCAGCCUUGGGAUGUUCUGGGGCUGCUGACCCAGGAUAUGACCAGCACCGGAAUGAGAGGAUGGAAGUCGCGAUAAGCCUCGAACGACCUCCCCCUUACUCCUCCUAGGGUCUGGAGGGCUCAGAGGGAAUGGAGAGCAGAGAUAGGCAGGGGCAUGCCGCAGCAGGUCAGACAGUGGCGAUGCUCCUCCCCAUGUUCUAGGCAGCAGGAGUGAGGAGAAGGCUCCUGCGGGGAAGGGGGACAUGGAGCUACCUCCUAUGCCCUGGGGUGCACCUCUGGACUCCGAAUCCCUCCACAUACUCGGACCACCAGCUAAGUAAAAGUUCCCUCUGCCCCGGAGAUGAACUGGGUCUCAAGGACCCUCAGCACCAUUGCUAGGACCUUACCUCCCCACCUCUGCCCGGGGGUUCGGGUCCUUUCGGCCUCCUCUACAGUGCUGUUUAGUUUCGGGCCCACCCCCAUCCGGCGCACACGGAAGAGCAGAGCAUUUUCCGGGAGGUUCAGCUCCGCUCUGAGAACUUUUGGUUCAGAAAGAGCGAUUCCCUUUGGCUAACAGGAAGCUGAAAAGGGCGUGGAGAGGACGCAGAAACAAGAGAGGACACGCAGCCCAAGACGACAAUAUGCUGAAAUAAAUGUCUAGACUAAAGCGCCCAUCCAGAAUGCCUGUAAGAAUGCACUCAACUAACAAAGUAUAAAGUAAAGAAUAUAAAUACACACAUCCACAGAAGAGAACGCCACUCCCUGGUCCGGACUAAAGUCUGAGGAAAGAGAAUCCACAGGCUGGAGCCUGGGCCCCAGACGCUUCCCCGGCCAGCUACUUAAGCGCAGCCCCUGGGAUGAGCAACCUCGCAGCAGCGCAGAAUGCACAUUCAACCUCAAAAUCCUACACAGGUGGGGGAAGAGGGGCUGAGGGAGAGGGUACGAAAAGGACACGCUUCCUGCUGUCCACCUUAGAAAACGUCACAGUGCUGUUAGUGAUUUUCCAAUUAUGAAGUCCCUACCGACUCCGGGGGUGCUCUCCUCGGUAGAGCAAUCCUUUUAGCCAUUGCCCUUCAGGUACCUCUCCUAGUUUGUCACUUAGCCUUGACCUUGAAAAUUCCUGGAAACUAAGAUUUGGGGUUUUGAUUCUUUCAGGUUUCAGGUGCAACCUUAAGACCAGCAAUGAUCGGCUCAGCGUUAGAGCUGCUGCCAGCUCUAAGGGAUUUUAACUACACUGAAAAUGUGAAAUCCGUUUCAGUCAUUCAGCAUGAGAGCGCGGCCAUGUUUCUCAAGCACAGAGACAGCCUCUCUUGUGUGUCAGUUGUUCCCUUUAGCGAGGGAAAACGUGGGGUGAAAUGGACUUCAAAAGUCCUUCUGGCCCUAUAAUAUGAAAUUCUGUACCUACAAGAACACACUGCUGAGAACUUUCUAAGAAACAAUAGCAUUAAAUGACCUUGGCCGGAGAUCCAGAUCAGUGCCUAGAGUACAGAAGGCCCAUCACAGCCAAAAACAAAAUAAUGCCCUUUUAGUGACCUUUGUCUUAGUCUGACUAUUUGGUCACAGACAAGUCAAGACAAAGACCCUUAGUAAAGGGCCUAACACAGUUCAGACUUUUCCUUUUAACAUAAAGAAGACAGAGGGCACAAGCUGGGACCAAAACGUGAUUAUGAUUCUAAUGUUCUCUUCCCCACACUCUAUAUAGCUAAAGGUCACUUUGACAGCUAUCCUGUAUUUCAACCCACACAUUAAACUUUCAGGUUUUAUAUAGCAACAUUUCCCAGAAUCCAGUCAAGGGUGACUGAAGUGAAAGGUGGUCUAAGGCCCAUGCCUAUUUGGUGAAGAAGAUGGGUUCCAUUUCUUACUCUUUGAAAGGAUGCAGAUUGCUUAAAGACACAUUGCACAGCUUCACAUCCAGGAGCCAGGCAAUUAAUUCCUCAAAGUGCAGGUAUCCAUUACUUAUAAAAACCUAGCCUUGCAGCCCGCUCUGAUCAACACAGAAUUCAGUAGCCAGCUCCUAAGGCCUGUAACUUUGAAAAGCAAAGCCAAUCUAAGCCAGUUCCUGCUAAGUAAAUGACUGCAACUCUACAGCAUCUGCAGCUGUAGAGGAAACCCAGGAUGGGUGGAAAUACUGUGUAGGCAAAGAAAGGAAAGCUGCCUCAUUUCCCACUAAAGGCAGCUCAGGGGAAAACCCUGUUGGAAGACCAUCGCUUCUGAGAAACUUUCAAGGAAUCACCAAUUUAAAAUAGUAUCUGACCUACUAACUGCUUCUCCUCCUAGUUAAAAGCAUUCAAAAUGGUUAUCUGACCUAAGUGAAAUGCCCUUGCCUUUUCUUUGUUCAGUUUCUUUGUUUUGAGGUAGUCCCCUAGCACGCCUCAGUCCCAAUCUGACUUGGAAUCUAUGGCAGGUCUCUUGCAUCAGCCUCUAUUUCUUGAAAUGGCUAUUACAAUUUCAAAUACAUG
RNAcentral lists this long non-coding RNA (2884 nucleotides) under Mus musculus (house mouse). Its description in RNAcentral is "long non-coding RNA chr14:78724837-78727721". The record is from RNAcentral. Lineage: Eukaryota; Metazoa; Chordata; Mammalia; Rodentia; Muridae.